UANAGUUUGAUCCUUGGCUCAGUAGUGAACGCUGGCGGUAGGCCUAACACAUGCAAGUCGAACGGCAGCACAGGAGAGCUUGCUCUCUGUGGUGGCGAGUGGCGGACGGGUGAGGAAUACAUCGGAAUCUACUCUGUCGUGGGGGAUAACGUAGGGAAACUUACGCUAAUACCGCAUACGACCUACGGGUGAAAGCAGGGGAUCUUCGGACCUUGCGCGAUUGAAUGAGCCGAUGUCGGAUUAGCUAGUUGGCGGGGUAAAGGCCCACCAAGGCGACGAUCCGUAGCUGGUCUGAUUAUGAUGAUCAGCCACACUGGAACUGAGACAUGGUCCAGACUCCUACGGGAGGCAGCAGUGGGGAAUAUUGGACAAUGGGCGCAAGCCUGAUCCAGCCAUACCGCGUGGGUAAAGAAGGCCUUCGGUGUUGUAAAGCCCUUUUGUUGGGAAAGAAAUCCAGCUGGCUAAUACCUGGUUGGGAUGACGGUACCCGANAAGAAUAAGCACCGGCUAACUUCGUGCCAGCAGCCUGCGGUAAUACGAAGGGUGCAAGCGUUACUCGG
Molecule: ribosomal RNA, 560 nt
Filed under: uncultured bacterium
Lineage: Bacteria
Description: bacterial SSU rRNA
Rfam family: Bacterial small subunit ribosomal RNA
Source: RNAcentral